CAAAUUCUAUCUCUCUGUUAAAUCUAGAAACCAAAAGCAACAACCUCUCCAAAUUCUAUCUCUGUCAAAUCUAGAAACCCAAAAGCAACAAUCCAAAUCAAAUCUAAAAUUAUGCAACCAUUUCUUCUGGAUCUCCUUCUCUUUCUCCUAAUCCCCAUCUCCAAAAGCAACUCUCUACCCACCACCGUCGACCGAACUUCUGCCACCACCACCGCCCUCCGCAAUCAACUCUCUACCCACUUUCUGGCCAACAUUUCCUCUCGAUCUCAUCGUUCCCAACAAACCUUUUGAUGAUGAUGACGAUACAAAAAUUAUGAUGAUGAUGUUCGGGUUAAGGUUUGAGAGAGGAACGAGCCAUGAGGGUUUGAGAGAGCAACAACAAAAGGAGCAGAUCUGAUAUGAAAAUUUUGGGUCUUCUUCUUCCUUUGUUCUUUGUUCUUUGUUCUUUGUUCUUCUAUCAUUAAUGAAUAUUUGAUUGCAAAUUCAGAUCUGAGUUUGAUACCUUCAUUAUUUGGAUGUUAGUUCAAAAAUAAAUGUUAAAAAUAUCCAGAUCUGAU
RNAcentral lists this long non-coding RNA (557 nucleotides) under Panax ginseng (ginseng). Its description in RNAcentral is "long non-coding RNA (PGIN_LNC018056)". Lineage: Eukaryota; Viridiplantae; Streptophyta; Magnoliopsida; Apiales; Araliaceae. The record is from RNAcentral.